UGGGGAAUAUUGCACAAUGGAGGGAACUCUGAUGCAGCGACGCCGCGUGAACGAAGAAGGCUUUCGUGUCGUAAAGUUCUUUUAUAUGGGAAGAUAAUGACGGUACCAUAAGAAAAAGCCCCGGCUAACUAGGUGCCAGCAGCCGCGGUAAUACGUAGGGGGCUAGCGUUGUCCGGAAUCACUGGGCGUAAAGGGUUCGCAGGCGGAAAUGCAAGUCAGGUGUAAAAGGCAGUAGCUUAACUACUGUAAGCAUUUGAAACUGCAUAUCUUGAGAAGAGUAGAGGUAAGUGGAAUUUUUAGUGUAGCGGUGAAAUGCGUAGAUAUUAAAAAGAAUACCGGUGGCGAAGGCGACUUACUGGGCUCAUUCUGACGCUGAGGAACGAAAGCGUGGGUAGCAAAGAGG
Molecule: ribosomal RNA, 403 nt
Filed under: bacterium
Lineage: Bacteria
Description: partial 16S ribosomal RNA
Rfam family: Bacterial small subunit ribosomal RNA
Source: RNAcentral